RNAcentral lists this ribosomal RNA (253 nucleotides) under uncultured bacterium. Its description in RNAcentral is "partial 16S ribosomal RNA". It matches the Rfam family "Bacterial small subunit ribosomal RNA", at positions 524 to 776 of the family's 1533-position model. The record is from RNAcentral.
UACGUAGGGGGCAAGCGUUAUCCGGAUUUACUGGGUGUAAAGGGAGCGUAGACGGCGGUGCAAGCCUGUGGUGAAAACCCCGAGCCCAACUCGGGGAUUGCCGUGGGAACUGCAUGGCUGGAGUGCCGGAGGGGUAAGCGGAAUUCCUGGUGUAGCGGUGAAAUGCGUAGAUAUCAGGAAGAACACCAGUGGCGAAGGCGGCUUACUGGACGGCAACUGACGUUGAGGCUCGAAGGCGUGGGGAGCAAACAGG